Molecule: long non-coding RNA, 200 nt
Organism: Musa acuminata AAA Group (dessert banana)
Lineage: Eukaryota; Viridiplantae; Streptophyta; Magnoliopsida; Zingiberales; Musaceae
Exons: 2
Source: RefSeq, a predicted model, not a curated record
CUGAGUAUGGAGAAUCUCACAGCGAGCGAGAUUGCAGGAUUCGGGGUGGGGGCGCUUCUGUUGUGCGCCACCAUAGCUGCCCCAAGAGUUGAUGCCUUCAUCUCAGCCUCUCAGAGGAGGUCAGUCCCCAUAUCUUCAGGUCUUUGGAUAUGUGUAAGAGAUGUGGCAAUCUAAGGAUGAUAGCAUGCUCGCAGUGCAAA